This is a small nucleolar RNA of Pseudoliparis swirei, 65 nucleotides long. Lineage: Eukaryota; Metazoa; Chordata; Actinopteri; Perciformes; Liparidae. The record is from RefSeq and is a predicted model, not a curated record.
UUUCAAUGAUGAUUAACCAAUACUCACUUUGAACCGAUGUGAAAAGACAUGAACUUCUGAGAAAC